CACGUAGGGCGCAAGCGUUGUCCGGAAUUAUUGGGCGUAAAGAGCUCGUAGGCGGCUUGUUGCGUCGACCGUGAAAACCCGUGGCUUAACUGCGGGCUUGCGGUCGAUACGGGCGGGCUGGAGUUCGGUAGGGGAGACUGGAAUUCCUGGUGUAGCGGUGAAAUGCGCAGAUAUCAGGAGGAACACCGGUGGCGAAGGCGGGUCUCUGGGCCGAUACUGACGCUGAGGAGCGAAAGCGUGGGGAGCGAACAGG
This 253-nucleotide ribosomal RNA is filed under the name uncultured bacterium. RNAcentral describes it as "partial 16S ribosomal RNA". It matches the Rfam family "Bacterial small subunit ribosomal RNA", at positions 524 to 776 of the family's 1533-position model. The record is from RNAcentral.